AUGUCCAGCAAGGAGUCCGGCCCAGACAAGAUCAAGGCGAUCCUCAUUUUCAACAACCACGGGAAGUCGCGGCUUUCCAAGUUCUACCAGCCCUACAUAUUUGUGGAAACAUUAGACAAAUGUUUUGAAAAUGUCUGUGAACUGGAUUUAAUUUUCCAUGUAGACAAGGUUCACAAUAUUCUUGUAGAAAUGGCGAUGGGGGAAUGGUAUUGGAGACCAAUAUGAAUGAAAUUAUUACACAAAUUGAUGCACAAAAUAAACUAGGGAAAUCUGAGGCUGGCUUAGCAGGAGCUCCAGCCUGUGCUGUAUCCACUGUAAAGAAUAUGAAUCUUCCCGAGAUCCCGAGAAAUAUUAACAUUGGUGACAUUAGUAUAAAAGUGUCAAACUUGCCCUCUUUUAAAUAAAAUAUUAAAAAGGCCACUCCCAGGUAAAAACCAGGGGGAUAAGUCAUCUAAGUUUACCAUACAGUUGUUUACCAAAAAUAGAGGAGGAAAGUCUUAACUUUUUGCUCUUAGAUUUAUGUCAAGGUACUGUAUAGAAGUUGUGUAAAAUCAGUGUGAAAGUUCAAUGUUGCUUUUCUUGCUCAGUGAUUUUAAAGAAAUUGUAUACUUCCAGUGUGAUUUUUUUUUGGUUGUUGUUUUCUAAGCUGCAUUCCUAUGCCCACCUAAGGCAUGCCUCUAUGUAUUGGCUAUCACAGUAUUUCAAAAGUGAGGUAUUUCUUUAAUUAUGUACAACCCAAAAUGUUGGUGCUUUGUAUGGAUCACAAGUGCAACAUUCCUUAAUUCUUUCUGCUCCUUGUCACAAUUGUUAAAGAACCAAGUAUGUAUUGCAUGAAAACAUGAUGACCUUUUCCUCUUAGUUUAAAUAAAUCCAAGGUAACUGAAUUUCUAAAGCACCUUUCUGUUUGCCUGAUAUCUACCUUAGCAAUAAUUUUUUUUACGACCCUUUGACUCAAAGUAAAUAAAGGUAUAUUUUA
Octodon degus (degu) is the source of this 976-nucleotide RNA transcript. It is a transcript of the gene named AP-3 complex subunit sigma-1-like, with no coding region annotated. The transcript has 3 exons. The record is from RefSeq and is a predicted model, not a curated record. NCBI's taxonomy places the organism in Eukaryota, Metazoa, Chordata, Mammalia, Rodentia, Octodontidae.